AAAGGGUGCGUAGGCGGUUUAUUAAGUCAGUGGUGAAAGACGGUCGCUCAACGAUUGCAGUGCCAUUGAUACUGGUAGACUUGAGUGAGAUUGAGGUAGCUGGAAUGGAUAGUGUAGCGGUGAAAUGCAUAGAUAUUAUCCAGAACACCAAUUGCGUAGGCAAGUUACUAAGUCUCAACUGACGCUGAGGCACGAAAGUGUGGGUAUCAAACAGGAUUAGAUACCCCUGU
This 230-nucleotide ribosomal RNA is filed under the name uncultured bacterium. RNAcentral's name for it is "partial 16S ribosomal RNA". It matches the Rfam family "Bacterial small subunit ribosomal RNA", at positions 562 to 791 of the family's 1533-position model. The record is from RNAcentral.